Molecule: small RNA, 132 nt
Filed under: Klebsiella pneumoniae
Lineage: Bacteria; Pseudomonadati; Pseudomonadota; Gammaproteobacteria; Enterobacterales; Enterobacteriaceae
Also listed under: 1 other name
Description: RtT sRNA
Rfam family: RtT RNA
About the family: This family represents a bacterial cis-regulatory element known as RtT RNA. The exact function of RtT is unknown although it is thought that it may be involved in changing the cellular response in relation to amino acid starvation.
Source: RNAcentral
UAUUCUGCCCUACGGGGAAGGAUGAGAAGCUUCGACUAAGGUUCGACUCGAGCGAAGCGAGAGAACGUUGCCGCAGGCAACGGCCCGAAGGGCGAGGCGCUUUAGCGCCGAGUAAUCCUUCCCCCACCACCA